This 229-nucleotide ribosomal RNA is filed under the name uncultured bacterium. Its description in RNAcentral is "partial 16S ribosomal RNA". It matches the Rfam family "Bacterial small subunit ribosomal RNA", at positions 568 to 796 of the family's 1533-position model. The record is from RNAcentral.
UGCGCAGGCGGGCUUGUAAGUCAGUGGUGAAAUACUGCCGCUCAACGGUAGAACUGCCAUUGAUACUGCAAGUCUUGAAUAUGGUUGAGGUAGGCGGAAUGUGUCGUGUAGCGGUGAAAUGCAUAGAUAUGACACAGAACGCCAAUUGCGAAGGCAGCUUACUAAGCCAUUAUUGACGCUGAAGCACGAAAGCGUGGGGAGCGAACAGGAUUAGAUACCCUGGUAGUCC